GGUUCGCUAGCUCAGUUGGUAGAGCACUUCACUUUUAAUGAAGGGGUCGAUGGUUCGAGUCCAUCGCGAGCCACCA
Molecule: transfer RNA, 76 nt
Filed under: Pseudomonadota bacterium
Lineage: Bacteria; Pseudomonadati; Pseudomonadota
Also listed under: 2 other names
Description: Proteobacteria bacterium tRNA-Lys
Rfam family: tRNA
About the family: Transfer RNA (tRNA) molecules are approximately 80 nucleotides in length. Their secondary structure includes four short double-helical elements and three loops (D, anti-codon, and T loops).
Source: RNAcentral